This 484-nucleotide ribosomal RNA is filed under the name uncultured bacterium. Its description in RNAcentral is "partial 16S ribosomal RNA". It matches the Rfam family "Bacterial small subunit ribosomal RNA", at positions 30 to 507 of the family's 1533-position model. The record is from RNAcentral.
AUUGAACGCUGGCGGCAUGCUUUACACAUGCAAGUCGAACGGUAACAGGGUGCUUGCACCGCUGACGAGUGGCGAACGGGUGAGUAAUGCAUCGGAAUGUACCGUGUAAUGGGGGAUAGCUCGGCGAAAGCCGGAUUAAUACCGCAUACGCCCUGCGGGGGACAGUGGGGGACUGAAAGGCCUCACGUUAUACGAGAAGCCGAUGUCUGAUUAGCUAGUUGGUGAGGUAAAGGCUCACCAAGGCGUCGAUCAGUAGCGGGUCUGAGAGGAUGAUCCGCCACACUAGGACUGAGACACGGCCCUGACUCCUACGGGAAGCAGCAGUGGGGAAUUUUGGACAAUGGGCGCAAGCCUGCUCCAGCCAUGCCGCGUGUCUGAAGAAGGCCUUCGGGUUGUAAAGGACUUUUGUCCGGGAGCGUAUCCUAGUGGUUAAUAACCGCUGGGUCUGAGAGUACCGGAAGAAUAAGCACCGGCUAACUACGUG